RNAcentral lists this ribosomal RNA (188 nucleotides) under uncultured bacterium. Its description in RNAcentral is "partial 16S ribosomal RNA". It matches the Rfam family "Bacterial small subunit ribosomal RNA", at positions 338 to 524 of the family's 1533-position model. The record is from RNAcentral.
CCUACGGGAGGCAGCAGUAAGGAAUAUUGCGCAAUGGACGAAAGUCUGACGCAGCAACGCCGCGUGCAGGAAGAAGGCCCUUCGGGUCGUAAACUGCUGUAGCAGGGGAAUAAUGAUCUGCCACAGGUGGAUUUGAAGGUACCCUGAAAGUAAGCUCCGGCUAACUACGUGCCAGCAGCCGCGGUAAU